RNAcentral lists this transfer RNA (73 nucleotides) under Ailuropoda melanoleuca (giant panda). It matches the Rfam family "tRNA". From Rfam's summary of the family: Transfer RNA (tRNA) molecules are approximately 80 nucleotides in length. Their secondary structure includes four short double-helical elements and three loops (D, anti-codon, and T loops). Lineage: Eukaryota; Metazoa; Chordata; Mammalia; Carnivora; Ursidae. The record is from Rfam by way of RNAcentral.
GCCUGGUUGGUUCAGUCAGUAGAGCAUGCAACUCUUGACCUCAAGGUUGUGAGUUCAAGCCCCACACUGGGCA